Molecule: small RNA, 566 nt
Filed under: Pongo abelii (Sumatran orangutan)
Lineage: Eukaryota; Metazoa; Chordata; Mammalia; Primates; Hominidae
Description: processed transcript
Source: RNAcentral
AGACUCGAUUCCCUCUCUUCUUCCUCCUCAAGGGAAAGCUGCCCACUUCUAGCUGCCCUGCCCUCCCCUUUAAAGGGCGACUUGCCCAGCGCCAGACCGCGGCUCCAGCCCUCUCCAGCCUCUGGCUCAGCGGGCUCAUCAAUCCGUCCGCGCCUUGCAGCUCCUCCAGAGGGACGCGCCCCGAGAUGGAGAGCAAAGCCCUGAUCGCGCUGGCCCUGGCCGUGUGGCUCCAGAGUCUGACCGCCUCCCGCGGAGGGGUGGCCGCCGCCGACCAAAGAAGAGAUUUUAUCGACAUCGAAAGUAAAUUUGCCCUAAGGACCCCUGAAGACACAGCUGAGGACACUUGCCACCUCAUUCCUGGAGUAACAGAAUCCGUGGCUACCUGUCACUUCAAUCACAGCAGCAAAACCUUCAUGGUGAUCCACGGCUGGACGGUGUAUUGGGCUGAUGUAUCUAUGACAAGUGGUAGGUGGGUAUUUUAAGAAAGCUUGUGUCAUCAUCUUCAGGUAACAGGAAUGUAUGAGAGUUGGGUGCCAAAACUUGUGGCCGCCCUGUACAAGAGAGAA